AGAGACUGCAAGCGUUAUUCGGAUUCACUGGGCGUAAAGGGUGCGCAGGCGGUUGGGUGUGUCAGAUGUGAAAUCCCGAGGCUCAACCUCGGAACUGCGUCUGAAACUACUCGACUAGAGUACUGGAGAGGGUAACGGAAUUCACGGUGUAGCAGUGAAAUGCGUAGAUAUCGUGAGGAACACCAGAGGCGAAGGCGGUUACCUGGACAGUUACUGACGCUCAGGCACGAAAGCAUGGGGAGCAAAAGGGAUUAGAUACCCCUGUAGUCCAUGCCCUAAACGGUGCACACUAGGUCUUAGCGGAUUCGACCCCACUAGGGCCCAAGCUAACGCGUUAAGUGUGCCGCCUGAGGACUACGGUCGCAAGACUA
This 371-nucleotide ribosomal RNA is filed under the name uncultured bacterium. Its description in RNAcentral is "bacterial SSU rRNA". It matches the Rfam family "Bacterial small subunit ribosomal RNA", at positions 527 to 896 of the family's 1533-position model. The record is from RNAcentral.